This 914-nucleotide long non-coding RNA is filed under the name Marmota monax (woodchuck). Lineage: Eukaryota; Metazoa; Chordata; Mammalia; Rodentia; Sciuridae. The record is from RNAcentral.
UAAGCCACUACAGGACUGUGAGCAGCACUCCUUCCACAACCAAAACUUCAAGUCACCACACCUUAGGUAGAGUGUGGCCACUUCCUGGGGCACAGUCUUUUUCAUGCUGGUGGUAGCCUGUGUUUGUAGCACUGUCUUCCAAAGAGACCAGCAGACUUGGUUUGAAGGUAUCUUCCUGUCUUCCAUGUGUCCCAUAAAUGUCAGUGCCAGCACCUUGUAUGGAAUUAUGUUUGAUGCAGGAAGCACUGGAACUUGAAUUCAUGUUUACGUCUUCAUGCAGAACAUUCCCGGACAGCUUCCAGUUCUGGAAGGGAAAAAUAUUUAAUUCUGUGAAGCCAGGACUUUCUGCUUUUGUAGAUCAACCUAAGCAGGUGCUGAGAGUAUUGAAGAACUCUUGGAGGUGGCCAAGAUGAAAUUCCCUGAAGUCACUGCACAAGGACCCCAGUGGUCCUGAAGGCAACAGCAGGACUUCGCCUACUGCCAGAACAGAAAGCCCAGGCCCUGCUCUUUGAGGUGGAGGAGAUCUUCAAGAAGCCACCUUUCCUGGUCCCAGAUGACAGUGUUAGCAUCAUGGAUGGAUACUAUGAAGGCAUAUUGGCUUGAGUUACUGUGAAUUUCCUGACAGGUCAGCUACAUGGCCACAGCCAUGUAGAGAGACUGUGGGAACUCUGGACCUGGGUGGGGUGAGGGGUGCUCUACCCAAAUCAUAUUCCUGCCCCAGUUUGAGAAAACCCUGGAACAAAUCCCGAAGGGCUACAUCACUUCCUGUUGGAGGCCGUGAUCAAGUCAAGAUGGCGCCUGGCAGUUUGCCAGGAGGAGUGGUUUGUGAGGCAAUGCCACCAAGCCAUCAAGAUGGUGGGGACUGUUUAUUGGCUGAUUGCUCUAUCUGUAGGGGAGCAAUGCUAUGAUUGGAU